AAGGAAAGAAAAAGUGGCUUGUCUGAACUUUAAUAUUUCUGAAUACCUUUCUGAAAACUGAAAUAACUGAAACAUUGUCAACAUCUCUUGCAAUUUUGUUCUCUGCAGCGUGAUGUUACCACAGCGUUGCUCCAUCAGCAGGCAGCGGCACACAGCAGGGACGGAGCCAGGCAUGCAGCAUGGCCAGCACACAGCCCUGCCGAGAGCCCACCAUGCACUCCUCUGCCUUGCGUCACCACUUCAGCCCAAGCUCCUGAGCCAACGUCUCUGCCCCACAUUCAGCUCCAAGCAUUCUGAAGCGAGUCAGCAGCGGUGGUGAAGUGACAGCCUUCAGGUCUUUCUUCAGGACUGUUUUUGCAAAUGAAAGCAGCUCCUGGUGUUCUCCGUAUCACUUACAAGGUGCCUGCGAAUUUGAAAAUUCUUGCAUCUGGUCGUGAAAAGGCGGUGAGGAUUAGCAGUUCCGUGGGGUAAGAGGCCCUGUGUGUGGGGAGGCUGCGUGGGUUGGUGCUACCUGGGUUCAGAAGGUCAAAAAAAGGAUAAUUUAAAUGCAAUUUUUUAAAGAGGCCACAAGAAACCAGUUUGGUGAUUUGUGGAUCAUAAAGGAAUAGGGAUUAAAAAAAGAGGGAAGAAUUUGCAUCCCAGCAUCAAUCAGAAAUACCUGAAAGCACCUGGAAACUGCACUGCUAAGGGCUGCUCUACCCCAGAGCCACAAAACCUUCAGGUUUCUACUGUGAUCACUUUGUGAAGCCCUGCCUAGCCACGAAGCCCCUCUUCCCUCCCGAGGCCUCGCUGUGAGCACAGAGUCACCCCACCAUCACCGUCGCUCCCUGGAACGCUGCCAUAAAGCUGGUGAGCCGAGUCCCGGCCUCGCGGCGACGCAGGCAGUUUAAUAGGAGGGCAGGGGGCCUGCAGUCAGUAGCAAGAGGCAUAGCAGAGUAAAGCAGUGGUCCAUUAAAUCAGCGCACUGGGGCCGAGGCAUUUACAGUCACACAGUCAGAUGUUUCCAGUAAUUAUUUCCCCAUAGCAUUUUUAUUAGGUGCUCCAUAAAUAACGUUCACUGCCAUGCUCCUCUCAUGGUCUGCACAAAAAAAAAAAAAAAAGAAAAAAAUAAUAAUAAUGAAGAGGGGAGAAAUAUAACUCAUUUUGCCUUCAGCUGGAUUUUAGGGUAAUAUUGACAUUCAGCCCUACUGAAGCAGAUGUGAGUUUGGAAAACAGCAGCAAAAUAGUUCUUUGAAGACCAAACAUAAUUCCCUGUCACCAUCAUGAGACUAACACAAUGCGAGGCAAGUUCCUAUUUGAGAUUUGGAUGGUGUUCUGGGCAGUUUGAUCUAGUGCUUCAUCUAGCAGUCAGCAUCUGCCCGUGGCAGGGGUUUGGAAGUAGGCGACCUUUGGGGUCCUUCCCAACACAAACCGUUCUAUGACUUAGAUCGAUCUCCUGGCCAUGGAUCCCAUGCAGACCUGGGGCAGGCAGGCAAGGAAGUAGUGGGAUUGGACUGGUGUUUGUUUGUUGUGAAUGUGUUGUUAUUUUUUAUUUUUAGAAGAGCUUAGAUAGUUCAAAGCCAGUUUCAUCAAACAGCACUGCCUCCUCUCUGGGAAGACCUUCCCAAAGCUCAUCACUGUCACCGUGUGUUUUAUCCAGUCUGGACAUGCAGCAUCUAUUGAUAGAUCCUGGCUUUUUGAUGGAGGUUUUUGUGCAAAGGCUUUCUCCAGAAAAGGUCUUUGUGUGGCCUGAGUUGUUCUAAUGUCAGGUAAUAGAGCUUCCUUCCUGGCACUGGGACUUCCGUAUUACUGAGGCUACUUUGAUUUUCAACAUAAAUUUUCUAGCCAAAAUAAUAUUCUCCAAAUAAACUCAAAUACUUGGGGGCUCA
This 1868-nucleotide long non-coding RNA is filed under the name Phasianus colchicus (ring-necked pheasant). RNAcentral's name for it is "lncRNA (ENSPCLG00000011233.1)". The record is from RNAcentral. Lineage: Eukaryota; Metazoa; Chordata; Aves; Galliformes; Phasianidae.